GAUGAACGCUGGCGGCGUGCUUAACACAUGCAAGUCGAACGAAGCACCUUGAUUUGAUUCUUCGGAUGAAGAUCUUGGUGACUGAGUGGCGGACGGGUGAGUAACGCGUGGGUAACCUGCCUCAUACAGGGGGAUAACAGUUAGAAAUGACUGCUAAUACCGCAUAAGGCCACAGCACCGCAUGGUGCAGGGGUAAAAACUCCGGUGGUAUGAGAUGGACCCGCGUCUGAUUAGGUAGUUGGUGGGGUAACGGCCUACCAAGCCGACGAUCAGUAGCCGACCUGAGAGGGUGACCGGCCACAUUGGGACUGAGACACGGCCCAAACUCCUACGGGAGGCAGCAGUGGGGAAUAUUGCACAAUGGGGGAAACCCUGAUGCAGCGACGCCGCGUGAGCGAUGAAGUAUUUCGGUAUGUAAAGCUCUAUCAGCAGGGAAGAAAAUGACGGUACCUGACUAAGAAGCAC
RNAcentral lists this ribosomal RNA (465 nucleotides) under uncultured bacterium. RNAcentral's name for it is "bacterial SSU rRNA". It matches the Rfam family "Bacterial small subunit ribosomal RNA", at positions 28 to 493 of the family's 1533-position model. The record is from RNAcentral.